UACCCUUGACAUGUACGGAAGUCUGCUGAGAGGUGGAUGUGCCUGAAA
RNAcentral lists this ribosomal RNA (48 nucleotides) under uncultured organism. RNAcentral describes it as "partial 16S ribosomal RNA". The record is from RNAcentral.